UACGGAGGGAGCUAGCGUUGUUCGGAAUUACUGGGCGUAAAGCGCACGUAGGCGCCUAUUCAAGUCAGAGGUGAAAGCCCAGGGCUCAACCUUGGAACUGCCUUUGAAACUAGAUAGCUAGAAUCCUGGAGAGGCGAGUGGAAUUCCGAGUGUAGAGGUGAAAUUCGUAGAUAUUCGGAAGAACACCAGUGGCGAAGGCGACUCGCUGGACAGGUAUUGACGCUGAGGUGCGAAAGCGUGGGGAGCAAACAGG
Molecule: ribosomal RNA, 253 nt
Filed under: uncultured bacterium
Lineage: Bacteria
Description: partial 16S ribosomal RNA
Rfam family: Bacterial small subunit ribosomal RNA
Source: RNAcentral